Non-coding RNA from Meleagris gallopavo (turkey), 305 nucleotides. The record is from RefSeq and is a predicted model, not a curated record. NCBI's taxonomy places the organism in Eukaryota, Metazoa, Chordata, Aves, Galliformes, Phasianidae.
GAAAAGAAUGACACUGAAUCUGGCAGCCAGAGAAUCAGACCAGUAUUUGAAGAAGAUCCUGUUUUCCGACGGCAAACGUCUUACCAACAUGCAGCAGUUCACAUACCAACAGAUAUUUAUGAAGGCUGUAUAUAAUUCAUCUUAUGAAUUAGUUGGAGCCAUAAUUAAAGACCAUUGUGGAAGGAUCUAAAUUUACAAGAUGGAACUGGAGAUGAAUCAAAACUCCUACAUAUUCUGAUUUUCUUACCCAUUCUUUCUAUGUACUGUGUGCACAUAUAAUAUAAAGGAUUCUUGACAGAUCUUUA